This 372-nucleotide ribosomal RNA is filed under the name uncultured bacterium. Its description in RNAcentral is "bacterial SSU rRNA". It matches the Rfam family "Archaeal small subunit ribosomal RNA", at positions 745 to 1116 of the family's 1478-position model. The record is from RNAcentral.
UCCCAGCUGUAAACGAUGCGGGCUGGGUGUUGGGGCGGCUACGGGCCGCUUCAGUGCCGCAGGGAAACCGUUAAGCCCGCCGCCUGGGGAGUACGGCCGCAAGGCUGAAACUUAAAGGAAUUGGCGGGGGAGCACCACAAGGCGUGAAGCUUGCGGUUUAAUUGGAGUCAACGCCGGGAAACUUACCGGGGGCGACAGCAGAAUGAAGGCCAGAUUGAAGGUCUUGCUGGACGAGCUGAGAGGAGGUGCAUGGCCGUCGCCAGUUCGUGCCGUGAGGUGUCCUGUUAAGUCAGGCAACGAUCGAGACCCACGCCCCCUGUUGCCACUGAGGAGGUUUCUCCAAAGGGCACUCUGGGGGGACUGCCGUCGAUA